AUACGUAGGGGGCGAGCGUUGUCCGGAAUGAUUGGGCGUAAAGGGCGCGUAGGCGGCCCGGUAAGUCUGGAGUGAAAGUCCUGUUUUUAAGAUGGGAAUUGCUUUGGAUACUGUCGGGCUUGAGUGCAGGAGAGGUAAGUGGAAUUCCUAGUGGAGCGGUGAAAUGCGUAGAGAUUGGGAGGAACACCAGUGGCGAAGGCGACUUACUGGACUGUAACUGACGCUGAGGCGCGAAAGUGUGGGGAGCAAACAGGAUUAGAUACCCUGGUAGUCCACACUGUAAACGAUGAAUGCUAGGUGUAGGGGGUAUCGACCCCUUCUGUGCCGCAGUCAACACAAUAAGCAUUCCGCCUGGGGAGUACGGCCGCAAGGUUGAAACUCAAAGGAAUUGACGGGG
RNAcentral lists this ribosomal RNA (397 nucleotides) under uncultured bacterium. RNAcentral's name for it is "partial 16S ribosomal RNA". It matches the Rfam family "Bacterial small subunit ribosomal RNA", at positions 523 to 918 of the family's 1533-position model. The record is from RNAcentral.